AGCCUGAUGGAGCAACGCCGCGUGAGUGAAGAAGGUUUUCGGAUCGUAAAGCUCUGUUGUUGGUGAAGAAGGAUAGAGGUAGUAACUGGCCCCUAUUUGACGGUAAUCAACCAGAAAGUCCCGGCUAACAACGUGCCAGCAGCCGCGGUAAUACA
RNAcentral lists this ribosomal RNA (155 nucleotides) under uncultured Lactobacillus sp. Its description in RNAcentral is "partial 16S ribosomal RNA". It matches the Rfam family "Bacterial small subunit ribosomal RNA", at positions 380 to 527 of the family's 1533-position model. Lineage: Bacteria; Bacillati; Bacillota; Bacilli; Lactobacillales; Lactobacillaceae. The record is from RNAcentral.